ACAGUUGGUGCAACCUGCCGUCCACUGGAAACUGGAAUCUUUGGUCUCCUUUUUCAGCUGAAAAGGCAAUAACAACAAAUAUGCAGCACACCUGAACAGAAGCUGACCAUGUACAGCCGGCCCGACCCAUAAGCGAACUGAGCGGCUGCUUAGGGCCCCGUGGCUACCAGAGGGCCCCCAAGAGCACUUGAAAUGUCCCACAAUAGAGCUCAUAACA
Molecule: long non-coding RNA, 217 nt
Organism: Perca fluviatilis (European perch)
Lineage: Eukaryota; Metazoa; Chordata; Actinopteri; Perciformes; Percidae
Exons: 3
Source: RefSeq, a predicted model, not a curated record